Molecule: non-coding RNA, 744 nt
Organism: Taeniopygia guttata (zebra finch)
Lineage: Eukaryota; Metazoa; Chordata; Aves; Passeriformes; Estrildidae
Source: RefSeq, a predicted model, not a curated record
UGCUAAUAUCCAUUUUGUGGCUAUUUUUCAGCAGUUUCUAGGUUUGGUUUGCAGCAAGGAAUAAAGAACAAGGGCUUGUGCCUCUCACCUUCAAAUCAGCUGCCAGCCAGGUAGCACUGCCCUACACAUCUCUGUAGGACAUUUACAAAUUGGAGAUAGUAUUGAGAACCUGAGGAGAUUUUUAGCUGGGAUCCUAUGGGCUGAACACAAUUCACAUGAGCUGAGGAGAGUGUCCCCCUGUAAGGAGAAGGUGAUCAUCUGGAAAGCACAUCUGGGAUCCAAGACCAAGCAUCCCCUCCAUGGAUUUAAGGGAUGAGAAGGCAAAUGCCUUUGAGAACUUAGCAUUUCUCUGUCUUCAUUUUGUCUAUCUGUCAUUUUAUGCUCUCCAGAUACAGGUUUUGAGAGAUAAAAUGAAUGUCUAUAUAUUAUUUUGAGCAUCUCUGAUGAGUGAUUUGAACCAGGAGCUGGAUUAUGACUGGGUAAGGCACAGUAUGGUCAUGGCAACAAAAUGGAUAAUCUUGACAGAUGGUGAAGUUGAUAUUUUUGUUUCUUUGGUUGUCUUUUCACAAUCAUUUUAGAGUAAACUGAGUGAUUUUUCCUGGAAUGAUGAGCUGUCUGCCUGGACACUUGUGUGUAAGCCUAGAUGAAAUCCAGAGCUUUAUAUAGAUCCACCUUUUUUUUCUUUUUAAAUUAGUGGGAAACCUCUUGCUGCCUGUAUUAAAAGACAAAAUGAGGUCUUUGUUC